AUUUAAACUUAUAAAAAGUUUAAUAUAUCAAAAAAUCUUAACAUCAUUAUAUAAUAUAUAGAGUUUCAAAAAAUCUCAAAUUUUUUUCAGUCAUAUUUUGUGAUUCGAAAUUUAAAAAAUGAACAUAUAUUAAACAAUUGGCGAAAAAUGUGUGAGUUCAACGUCCCACAUCGAUUAAAAUAUUUAGAGAAUGAUUUAUAAACAUAUCAUAAAUAAGAUCAACAUUAACAAAAUAAAUGAGUUUUUUUUUUGCGGGACGGGUUUGGCAGGACGUUACUUAAUAACAAUUGUAAACUAUAAAAUAAAAAUAUU
This 312-nucleotide small RNA is filed under the name Arabidopsis thaliana (thale cress). RNAcentral describes it as "ATSL145900". Lineage: Eukaryota; Viridiplantae; Streptophyta; Magnoliopsida; Brassicales; Brassicaceae. The record is from RNAcentral.